GAGGGGGGAUCCCACAUAAAUGCAAGAGAGAACACACUAUUUUCUAGUGCACCUGGCAUAUUGUAUAAUUUACCUUCAUACUCCUCCAUUUUCCUCAGGUAAGGCUCGAGUUCAACAUGUUAUUUUUCUUAAAUUCAUGGAAUGAAGCGAAACAUAUAAACAUCCUGUGAAUACUUAGUCUACAAGAAGCUCAAACGAUGUAUGCAUGUAGAUCCCCAGUAAAUAUACAUACAUAAGAAUUAAGAAAUCCUCGAUUAAUUUUGAAGAUGCUCCAUCAUAAUCCCACAGUUAUAUGCUUAUAAUUUACCCUCAUGCUCCUCCAUUUUCGUCAGGUAUGGCUCGAGUUCAACAUGUUAUUUAUCUUACUUUCAUGGAAUGAAGCCAAACAUAGAGCCAUCCUGUGAAUACUUAGUCGGCCAGAAGCUCAAAAAAUGUAUCGAUAUAGAUCCAUAGAAAAUAUACAUAUAUAAGAAAUAAGAAAUCCUUGAUUAAUUUUGAAGAUGCUCCAUCAUAAUCCCACAGUUAUAUGCUUAUAAUUUACCCUCAUGCUCCUCCAUUUUCGUCAGGUAUGGCUCGAGUUCAACAUGUUAUUUAUCUUACUUUCAUGGAAUGAAGCCAAACAUAGAGCCAUCCUGUGAAUACUUAGUCGGCCAGAAGCUCAAAAAAUGUAUCGAUAUAGAUCCAUAGAAAAUAUACAUAUAUAAGAAAUAAGAAAUCCUU
Molecule: unclassified non-coding RNA, 720 nt
Filed under: Hevea brasiliensis (rubber tree)
Lineage: Eukaryota; Viridiplantae; Streptophyta; Magnoliopsida; Malpighiales; Euphorbiaceae
Source: RNAcentral